This 243-nucleotide long non-coding RNA is filed under the name Nicotiana benthamiana. RNAcentral's name for it is "long non-coding RNA (NBEN_LNC030750)". The record is from RNAcentral. Lineage: Eukaryota; Viridiplantae; Streptophyta; Magnoliopsida; Solanales; Solanaceae.
UUCUUGUCUUGCAUAUUCUUGUGGAAAACCAAACUCCAAUUUGGUUAUUGUGAUUAUAUUGUUUGUUGUUUAGAAGAAGUUCUUGUGUUAUAUUCUUGUAUAAGACUUCAAGAUAAUCUUGAAGAUAAGGAUCAAGGAGCUUGCAAACACUUAGGACAAUCUUCAUAAGGAGGACUAAGAAUUUCCACAAAUGGAUUCAGGUACGCUUCCGCUCUUGUUGUUGUAGUUCCAAAUUAUUCGAUA